This 61-nucleotide microRNA precursor is filed under the name Sorex araneus (European shrew). RNAcentral describes it as "miRNA (ENSSARG00000018910.1)". The record is from RNAcentral. Lineage: Eukaryota; Metazoa; Chordata; Mammalia; Eulipotyphla; Soricidae.
UGGCCCUGUCUUUGCCGGGUGCAUUUCCUGGAGUGAACUCGGGGGGCGGUGGGGGUGGGGG